GAGGGUGUAGCUCAGUGGCAGAGUGCAUGUUUAGCACCAUGAAGGUCUUGGGUUCAAUCCCCAGUACCUCCA
Molecule: transfer RNA, 72 nt
Filed under: Camelus bactrianus (Bactrian camel)
Lineage: Eukaryota; Metazoa; Chordata; Mammalia; Artiodactyla; Camelidae
Also listed under: 2 other names
Rfam family: tRNA
About the family: Transfer RNA (tRNA) molecules are approximately 80 nucleotides in length. Their secondary structure includes four short double-helical elements and three loops (D, anti-codon, and T loops).
Source: Rfam by way of RNAcentral